This 253-nucleotide ribosomal RNA is filed under the name uncultured bacterium. Its description in RNAcentral is "partial 16S ribosomal RNA". It matches the Rfam family "Bacterial small subunit ribosomal RNA", at positions 524 to 776 of the family's 1533-position model. The record is from RNAcentral.
GACAGAGGGUGCAAACGUUGUUCGGAAUUACUGGGCGUAAAGCGCGUGUAGGCGGCUAUGUAAGUCGGGCGUGAAAUCCCACGGCUCAACCGUGGAAGUGCACCCGAAACUGCGUAGCUAGAGUCCUGGAGAGGAAGGUGGAAUGCUUGGUGUAGAGGUGAAAUUCGUAGAUAUCAAGCGGAACACCGGUGGCGAAGGCGGCCUUCUGGACAGUGACUGACGCUGAGACGCGAAAGCUAGGGUAGCAAACGGG